AUGGCGAUGGCGGCGUUGGUGGUGCUCUCUCUGCUGCUCCUGCCCACCGGGGAGGCGCAGGAGAGGCGCCCGGUGGAGGCGCACCCGCACGGGCUGCCGUUCGAGAGCCCGCUGGCGCUGUCGCCGGCGGCGUACGAGUUCUUCCACCCCAGUGAGCACGCCCAGCGCGUGGCCGGCGCCCCCGAGCUCGCGCCGCGCGGGCAGCCGAGGGGGGCGGUGGUCCGGGGCGCCGGCGCGUCCGCGGCGAGCGUGGCGAGGGCCGACCAGGAGGAAGGGGGCGUGGCGCCCGUGAACACGGCUCGACGAGGCGGAGCUGUCCGUGCGGGCGUGGUGGCCGGCGUGUUCGUCGGGGCAGCGGUGGUGGUGUUGGCGGCUCUCGGGCUAGCGUACGCGGUGGCGCGGCGCCGCGUGGGCGUCGCGCAAGGUGACGCUGAGGCGGCUAGCGCACCGAAGUCGAAUGCUUAA
This 465-nucleotide ribosomal RNA is filed under the name Triticum aestivum (bread wheat). Its description in RNAcentral is "partial small subunit ribosomal RNA". Lineage: Eukaryota; Viridiplantae; Streptophyta; Magnoliopsida; Poales; Poaceae. The record is from RNAcentral.